This 659-nucleotide unclassified non-coding RNA is filed under the name Zea mays. RNAcentral describes it as "misc RNA Zm00001eb188250". Lineage: Eukaryota; Viridiplantae; Streptophyta; Magnoliopsida; Poales; Poaceae. The record is from RNAcentral.
GGAGGGAGGGAGGGAGGGAGGGAGAGAGAGAGAGAGAGAGAGAGAGAGAGAGAGAGAGAGAGAGAGAGAGAGAGAGAGAGAGAGAGAGAGAGAGAGAGAGAGAGAGAGAGAGAGAGAGAGAGAGAGAGAGAGAGAGCACGCUGCUCGCUGCUCGCCGCUCGCCGCAGGGGGGAGCAGUAGCGCAGGCAAGGGAAAGGGAUGGAAGCUGGAACUGGAAGGGGAAGGACCGAAGGAGUGGAUGGGACUCGGGAGUGCGUGUGGUCGUGAAAAUGGAGUUGGAACUGUCCGAGACCGACUGACUCUAUUGAGUAAUAAAUGCUGGAGGAAGACGGAGUAAGCAGCAACAGCGACCAGGUGAUUGAAUCGAGCGAUUCGGACUUGGGAGAGGACCGGACGUGUGAGCGAGCGGCAGCAACUGACGGCCUACACGGCUACUACUACAUGGGACGAUCUCAUCCGUGCCGCGGCUAGACGUCGCUCAACGAGCUCCCACGAUCCAACUUUUGAGCAACGCAGACAGACAGGCUCAUGUGAUGAUGCAUCACUCUCUCCCUCCACAACUUUUCACGGUACCCGGCCAUAGUAGCACUUGUGUGUUUUUUUUAAAGGAGAACUUUGUUAGCCUCCUCCACUAGUAGUGUGAUAUCCUUAGCUUUUCC